Molecule: ribosomal RNA, 1329 nt
Filed under: Nocardioides sp. EPR 26 W
Lineage: Bacteria; Bacillati; Actinomycetota; Actinomycetes; Propionibacteriales; Nocardioidaceae
Description: bacterial SSU rRNA
Rfam family: Bacterial small subunit ribosomal RNA
Source: RNAcentral
GGGUACACGAGCGGCGAACGGGUGAGUAACACGUGAGUAAUCUGCCCUCCACUUCGGGAUAAGCCUCGGAAACGGGGUCUAAUACCGGAUAUGACCACUUCAUGCAUGUGAUGGUGGUGGAAAGUUUUUCGGUGGGGGAUGUGCUCGCGGCCUAUCAGCUUGUUGGUGGGGUAAUGGCCUACCAAGGCUUCGACGGGUAGCCGGCCUGAGAGGGUGACCGGCCACACUGGGACUGAGACACGGCCCAGACUCCUACGGGAGGCAGCAGUGGGGAAUAUUGGACAAUGGGCGGAAGCCUGAUCCAGCAACGCCGCGUGAGGGAUGACGGCCUUCGGGUUGUAAACCUCUUUCAGUGGGGACGAAGCGCAAGUGACGGUACCCACAGAAGAAGCACCGGCCAACUACGUGCCAGCAGCCGCGGUAAUACGUAGGGUGCGAGCGUUGUCCGGAAUUAUUGGGCGUAAAGGGCUCGUAGGCGGUUUGUCGCGUCGGGAGUGAAAACACUGGGCUUAACUCAGUGCUUGCUUCCGAUACGGGCAGACUAGAGGUAUUCAGGGGAGAACGGAAUUCCUGGUGUAGCGGUGAAAUGCGCAGAUAUCAGGAGGAACACCGGUGGCGAAGGCGGUUCUCUGGGAAUUACCUGACGCUGAGGAGCGAAAGUGUGGGGAGCGAACAGGAUUAGAUACCCUGGUAGUCCACCACCGUAAACGUUGGGCGCUAGGUGUGGGGUCCAUUCCACGGAUUCCGUGCCGCAGCUAACGCAUUAAGCGCCCCGCCUGGGGAGUACGGCCGCAAGGCUAAAACUCAAAGGAAUUGACGGGGGCCCGCACAAGCGGCGGAGCAUGCGGAUUAAUUCGAUGCAACGCGAAGAACCUUACCUGGGUUUGACAUACGCCGGAAAGCCGUAGAGAUACGGCCCCUUUNUAGUCGGUGUACAGGUGGUGCAUGGCUGUCGUCAGCUCGUGUCGNGAGAUGUUGGGUUAAGNCCCCGCAANGAGCGCAACCCUCGUCAUAUGUNCCCAGCAANCCUUCGGGUGUUGGGGACUCAUAGGAGACUGCCGGGGUCAACUCGGAGGAAGGUGGGGAUGACGUCAAGUCAUCAUGCCCCUUAUGUCCAGGGCUUCACGCAUGCUACAAUGGCCGGUACAAAGGGCUGCGAUCCCGUGAGGGGGAGCGAAUCCCAAAAAGCCGGUCUCAGUUCGGAUUGGGGUCUGCAACUCGACCCCAUGAAGUCGGAGUCGCUAGUAAUCGCAGAUCAGCAACGCUGCGGUGAAUACGUUCCCGGGCCUUGUACACACCGCCCGUCACGUCACGAAAUGUCGGCAACAC